GAUGAACGCUGGCGGCGUGCCUAAUACAUGCAAGUCGAGCGAACAGAUAAGGAUCUUGCUCCUUUGACGUUAGCGGCGGACGGGUGAGUAACAAGUGGGUAACCUACCUAUAAGACUGGAAUAACUCCGGGAAACCGGGGCUAAUGCCGGAUAACAUUUAGAACCGCAUGGUUCUAAAGUGAAAGAUGGUUUUGCUAUCACUUAUAGAUGGACCCGCGCCGUAUUAGCUAGUUGGUAAGGUAACGGCUUACCAAGGCAACGAUACGUAGCCGACCUGAGAGGGUGAUCGGCCACACUGGAACUGAGACACGGUCCAGACUCCUACGGGAGGCAGCAGUAGGGAAUCUUCCGCAAUGGGCGAAAGCCUGACGGAGCAACGCCGCGUGAGUGAUGAAGGUCUUCGGAUCGUAAAACUCUGUUAUUAGGGAAGAACAAAUGUGUAAGUAACUGUGCACGUCUUGACGGUACCUAAUCAGAAAGCCACGGCUAACUACGUG
This 497-nucleotide ribosomal RNA is filed under the name uncultured bacterium. RNAcentral's name for it is "partial 16S ribosomal RNA". It matches the Rfam family "Bacterial small subunit ribosomal RNA", at positions 28 to 507 of the family's 1533-position model. The record is from RNAcentral.